UACGAAGGGGGCUAGCGUUGUUCGGAAUUACUGGGCGUAAAGCGCACGUAGGCGGGUUUGUAAGUAGGGGGUGAAAUCCCCGGGCUCAACCCGGGAACUGCCUUCUAGACUGCAAGCCUGGAGGUCAGGAGAGGCGAGUGGAAUUCCGAGUGUAGAGGUGAAAUUCGUAGAUAUUCGGAGGAACACCAGUGGCGAAGGCGACUCGCUGGACUGAUACUGACGCUGAGGUGAGAAAGCGUGGGGAGCAAACAGG
Molecule: ribosomal RNA, 253 nt
Filed under: uncultured bacterium
Lineage: Bacteria
Description: partial 16S ribosomal RNA
Rfam family: Bacterial small subunit ribosomal RNA
Source: RNAcentral